AGUGAACGCUGGCGGUAGGCCUAACACAUGCAAGUCGAACGGCAGCACAGUAAGAGCUUGCUCUUACGGGUGGCGAGUGGCGUACGGGUGAGGAAUACAUCGAAAUCUACUUUUUCGUGGGGGAUAACGUAGGGAAACUUACGCUAAUACCGCAUACGACCUACGGGUUAAAGCAGGGGCUCUUCGGACCUUUCGCGAUUGAAUGAGCCGAUGUCGGAUUAGCUAGUUGGCGGGGUAAAGGCCCACCAAGGCGACGGUCCGUAGAUGGUCUGAGAGGAUGAUCAGCGAAACUGGAACUGAGACACGGUCCAGACUCCUACGGGAGGCAGCAGUGGGGAAUAUUGGACAAUGGGCGCAAUCCUGAUCCAGCCAUACCGCGUGGGUGAAGAAGGCCUUCGGGUUGUAAAGCCCUUUUGUUGGGAAAGAAAAGCAGCAGGUUAAUACCCCGCUGUUCUGACGGUACCCAAAGAAUAAGCACCGGCUAACUUCGUG
Molecule: ribosomal RNA, 492 nt
Filed under: uncultured bacterium
Lineage: Bacteria
Description: partial 16S ribosomal RNA
Rfam family: Bacterial small subunit ribosomal RNA
Source: RNAcentral